RNAcentral lists this long non-coding RNA (885 nucleotides) under Rattus norvegicus (Norway rat). RNAcentral describes it as "long non-coding RNA NONRATT023995". Lineage: Eukaryota; Metazoa; Chordata; Mammalia; Rodentia; Muridae. The record is from RNAcentral.
UGGGUAUAAGAGUUGGGUGUCUGUUUGCAGAUGCACAGGAAAAGGCAGUGGGUAGUUGGGAAUCUCUUGGUUUAGUUUCAUUGUGUUUGUCUCUCGCUCGGACUGUGAAGUGUCUAACAGAAACCUGUGGGCUCCAUUCUCUGGCUCCCAAAGCUCCUCCAUCCAUGUCUGGCGCCUGUAGUGUUUCUUUUCCAGCUUUCAGAAGGAAAGGGGAAAGAAGAAAAGCGAAAAGUCAGAGAAUCUCUUGAAGGUAGAAGGUGUUUAUGUUAAACCUGCUGCCUCUGACUCAUAGUAGGUGCUCAGUAAGUGUUAGAUUCAGUCUCCAGUGGCGGAAGAAGCACGAGUCCUGACAGAUUAAGGGCCUGUAUUUGAUCUGCAGAACCCACUUUUGGAAGGAGGGGUGUGGUGGAGAGAGUUUCGCACACCUUUGAUCCCAGCACAGGAGGCAGGCAGAUCUCUGAAUUUGUGGCCAACCUGUUCUAUAGAGUGAGUUCUAGGACAGCCUAGGCUACACAAAGAUCUGAAAACCAAAAUUGGGGUGUGAGAGACACACUGGAUAAAUGGUUCAGCAGAUAAGAACACUGGCCACUCUUCCACACUGGUUUGAUUCCUGGAACCUGCAUGGCAACUCACAACCAUCUACGACUCUAGUCCCAGGGGAUCUAAUGACCUCUUCUGCCCUCCGAGGACACCAGGCACACAGGUGGCACACAGACAUACAUGUAGACAAAGCACCCAUUAACAGAAAAUAAGUAAAUAUAUUUUCAAAAAGACACCUGCUCAUAAUCCCCGCUCAAGGAAGACUUGCCUGCGACUGGAAUCCAGCCAUCCAGCCCGGCCUACUUGGUGAGUUCCAGGCCACCAUCUUAAAAAAAAACAAAAAAA